GGCUGAAGUCAUCAAGGAGAAAGCUAAACCAGCUCCUGAGAAGAAAGGUUAGAAUUACCAAUAUUUGACCUCCAAUUUAAAGAAAUUAUUAACAAAUAAUUGAAAGAAAAAAAUAUUCAUAUUAUUGCCUUUUCAGUGUCUGAAGUCUUCAAGGAGAAAGUUAAGCAAGCACCUCUGAAGAAAGGUAUGGAUGUCAAUGAAAUAAUCCUGCAUGUAGUAUUGCUUUCUUUUGUAUGAUUAUUAUAUAAAAUGAUUAUCACAUGAAACAAUACUGUUUUAUAGAGCCUGAAGUCUCAAAAGAAAAGUUAUUAGAGCCAAAACCUAAAAAAGAUGAUGUUGGUCUUAUUGGUUUGGACUUGGAACUCCUGAACUCUAUCAACCAAAAACUGUCUCUUCUGGACUUACUGAGGAAGGACAUUGGUGAAAUGAAGAGUGAUCUGGAGUCCACUCAAAAUCAAAUCACACUUUUACGGAUGGACAACAGAACAAUCAAAGAGCCAGAGAUUGUCGGUGUAAAGGUAAAAGCAGCGGUCUCCAAGGAAAAGCUGAAAACAGCAAAAAAAGGCCUUGAUGCUCUGAUGAACGUUACUAAGACAGCACAUAUUAAAACAGAACGUGAUGCACUAAAAAACAUCACUAAACCAGCACCUGCAAAGAAAGAUAAAGAGGCUCCAAAAGCUAAGAUCAGACCAGAGCCCAAAAAGAAAGGUAAAUUAUAUAUUUACUGUUAACAAUUGAAAUCACCUACCAAUAUCAUUUUCUUUUUGCUAAGUAAAAAGAUUCUUAUUGUUGUAUCAGUGACUGAAAAUAUCUCUCCUGAUGCUAGAAAUCACCCGUGAGAAGGUCAAAGAAGAAAAGGAACCUUUAAAGAAAGGUACUAUGGCUGAUUGCAUAGAGUGAUUUACUAACACAGACUUUUCAUAUUCAUUUUAG
Molecule: long non-coding RNA, 933 nt
Filed under: Sinocyclocheilus grahami
Lineage: Eukaryota; Metazoa; Chordata; Actinopteri; Cypriniformes; Cyprinidae
Description: lncRNA (ENSSGRG00000031540.1)
Source: RNAcentral